Molecule: precursor RNA, 1388 nt
Filed under: Zea mays
Lineage: Eukaryota; Viridiplantae; Streptophyta; Magnoliopsida; Poales; Poaceae
Description: precursor miRNA zma-miR159a
Rfam family: MIR159 microRNA precursor family (bases 306-534)
Source: RNAcentral
AACCCAUGAACAGCAAAGCAAGGGCCGAAUAGUAUAUUAGUAUAGGCCAGUUCCCUCACUCCCCAGAUUCCCCUUUUCAUAGCACCUCUAUACCUCUUCUUCUCGUCGUCACUCUAUCCCGCAUCUGCUGUUCUUUAUUUCUAUACAUACAUAUAUACUAUCAUCGGUUAUUUGCUUCUCUAUUCUGUCCGAGUACUUUACGGUGUUCCGCACAUAGAUCUCGUGGCCGGCUGUUUUGCGCUUUCGCUUGCGUUUCUUGGCCCUGCUGGUGUUGACCGGUCCGAACGGGGGCAGAUCGAUGCUUUGGGUUUGAAGCGGAGCUCCUAUCAUUCCAAUGAAGGGUCGUUCCGAAGGGCUGGUUCCGCUGCUCGUUCAUGGUUCCCACUAUCCUAUCUCAUCAUGUGUAUAUAUGUAAUCCAUGGGGGAGGGUUUCUCUCGUCUUUGAGAUAGGCUUGUGGUUUGCAUGACCGAGGAGCUGCACCGCCCCCUUGCUGGCCGCUCUUUGGAUUGAAGGGAGCUCUGCAUCCUGAUCCACCCCUCCAUUUUUUUUUGCUUGUUGCGUCCUUCCUGGGACCUGAGAUCCGAGGCUCGUGGUGGCUCACUGUAGCCUCGCUACACUGUUUUCUUCUCCUCUCCUGUGCUAUUUGCUGUUUCUCCUAAGAUUCUUUAGGCCGUGCUUAUCCGUGCUGGAGUUUAACGAAGCAGCACGUUGCUGCUGCUGGUGCUGCCCUCAUGCCCUGGUGGUCGACUGGUAUCGGUACCCGUACUUGCGUCGCUUUAUUAUACCCUAUCUUCGCCGGUGAGGUUUCCGGCCGUUCGGUACAGGUAGUCUAUGUCAAACACUCGUUUUAUUUCUUGUCAUACUAUAUUCUUCUGCUUCCUGUUCGUACCGGCGGCGUGUGCCUUUGCGGUGGCGCUCCUGGAUCUGGGUGCAGCGAGCGCCCGUCAGCUUCUCCCUCCCCAUGCCACCUCGUCAACGCCCCCCGGCACCUGGCAGAUUCGCCGUCAUGCUGGCUCAGCGCUCGACCCCUCGCGCUCGGCGGCGUCGCCUGCAGGCCAGGUCCGGUUUCAUCGCAUGUCGCCGCCCGCUGGUGCUUCCGUGUCAUGGGAGGGAGCUUCGUUUAUCUUUCUGACCGACAUGUAAUGUGCAGUGCUAGGACUGCUGCUGCAACGCUUCGCGAUGCAAGGACGUCGUUCCAGCAGGACGAUUCUGUUUGGACUCCGGAACUGCGGUUUGGAGUUCUGAAGGCGAAUAGGCGAUAAUAAUGCGGUGUAAAUUGUGAUGAAAGCUGAGAUUCUUUGUAUGAAAUACGGAAUGUAUCGCUUGGACACUGUAUCGCGAAUUGGUGGAUGAGCAUGUUGUAUUCCGUUGCCCUUUUGGUUCGAAA